Alligator mississippiensis (American alligator) is the source of this 6224-nucleotide long non-coding RNA. RefSeq lists it as uncharacterized. NCBI's taxonomy places the organism in Eukaryota, Metazoa, Chordata, Crocodylia, Alligatoridae. The record is from RefSeq and is a predicted model, not a curated record. The transcript has 3 exons.
AUGUUGAUUUCAGCCCUUCUGACUGGCUGCCUCUACACAAGACACUGACUGCACAGUCAUUACUGCACAGUCAUUUAGUACCUGCAUACACAAAUACUAAAUGACUACAAUAACUGGAGUUACUGUGCUGUAGUGUUCCUGAACGGUUUUUUGCUGAUGCUAUCUGUGCAGUAGCUUGUUAGUACUGCGCAGUAGCAUCGCGUCCCACUUUGUGCAUGCUACUGCACAGUAGUAACAAGCUACUAUGCAGUAAUAACAACUGACUGCACGGUCAGAGUCUCAUGUAGACAACAGCCAGUGAGGAAGAAAUUGAACCCAGCUCUUCGGCAUCCUGGCUAAGUGCUCUACCCAGGGAGCUGCCAUCACUCGUUCAUAUUGUCUGAAGGCCCUGAGACAGGUGUUAUUUUGGCUACAAAAAAUAAAGCACUAUAGCAGGCCACCUGGUUGGAGGGUGACAAAGGUGCCACAAAGGUGCACUCUCCAGCCAGGGGACAAGAGAGAGCUGCUCUGUAAGGGAGCUUGUCAGUGAGACAGGAUUGCAAGCCCUUCGGAGUUCCUGGCUCCCUGGGAGGAGCUGUCUGAUGCCAUUCUCAGGCUGUCCAGGAGCCCCUUAAAAGUUUCUGGUGCUUUAAUGGGCUGCCGGUGUUCUGGCACUAGAAACCCCCUAAAGGUCCUGGGUUUCAGGUGCUCCUGUCACUCUUGCUGCUAGGGCUCCCUGCAAGCCUUCCGCAGCAGCAAAGGCUAACUGGGGGCUCUCCACCAUUUACGCACAGCUCCUUCACCCUGGCCACUGGGUGGCAACAGUCAGGGGGCUGCCUGGAAUUCCCCUGCAGUGACAGGGACUGAUCAGAGGGCCUGCACCCUGCCACCCCCAACCAGUCUCUGCCACAGCUGCUUGCAUAGAGGCUAGGGCGGUAGGGCUCCCUGCAAGGGCAGAAGGAACCGAUUGUAGGGCGCAGGCCCCUCAUCAGCCCCUGCUGUUGCUUGCAGGCAGCCCACGCACCUUUACCACCCACCCGACCUUUACAUGUGGUCCCUGCUGGGUGGGGGCUCAGUAAGCAGAGCUGGCACUGUUCCCCCGCUUCCAGCAGAGCACGGGGACCGGCUCUGCUCAUCCCCUCCCCUGCGGGGACUAAGGCUCUUCCUGGCAUCUGCUUGGGUUGUAGGGGCUUUAAAGGGUGAGGGGGCAGCCCGGGACCACCCACCAGCACCAUCCCUGGCUCUUGGGCUGCUGGCAUGCCAGGAAUUUAAAGGGCAAAACUGGUGUGACUGGACAAGGGGCAGUCCCAGGGUCUAGGGCAGAGGCAGCUCCAGCCCUGUCCCCUUUUUCAGCUGUACCAGGGAGGAGGCAGCAUACCCUGACAGCUUCACAGAGCAGGCAAGUUUUCCUCCCUUUUGGGGUGAGGGAGGAGGGAGAGCAAGGGACUGUGGCCUACUGGUACAUAGGAAUACCAGUCCAACAUGGUAAAUGUGUGGCAAAAAAAACUUUCCGCCACAAAAAGUUGCAAUUUUAAACGGUUCUGGUUUUUCAGCAGAUUAACCAUUUAGGGCAGAUCUCCCGUGCUGAUUGGCACAUAUCGAACCUAAUGUUUGCUUCUGCCUAGCUACUGGUGCUCUGAUUAUUGGAGGAGCUGGGGGUAUCAUCAAGAAACCUGUCACGCUUGGACCACUACCUCCUAGAGGCACAGAGCUCUGUCCUCUGUGGCUCCUGUCAGGGUUGUGGAUUGGUGAGGCUGGUCCGCUCCCAGAGGCUCAUGGAUCCAGCACGCUUCCAAAACUCUGCAGGACAGUCCCACAGAUCUUGAUGGCCUGGCUGAGUUGGAGAACAAUGCGCUGACCCUCACCACUCCCUACCCAGCACAGCGGGGGGCUCAGCACAGAUGCAGCCUCCUGGUACCCCCAACACCACGCGCUCCUGCACAGCAAUCACUGCCUGUAAUGGCCUUCCUUUCCUACUGUGCUCCCCACGCCCUGCCCACCCAGAGGGCUUGCCCCACUCCCAGCACAGGGAGGUACCAAGUAGCUGUGGGACUUAGGGGGUCCAACUGCCCUUGGACCUGGCCACUUCCUGGGUACACUUGUAGGGAGGUUGGUAGCUCACCGAGCAACCAAUGAAGUAGCACUUCUGCCCUACUGAGCAGGCUCUGUCAGGCCACAGGAUGACACAGCUGCUCCCCUGUGAGCCGUGCUGGCAGGGCCGUUCCCCCACUCCCAAUUGCAACCCAAAGUGGACAGGGUACGCAUGUCUGCAGUCACUAGCCAGGCAGCUGCUGGCAAGCACCUGCAAAGAGCGGGGGCCUGGGCAGAGCCGCUGGUGGUGCUGCAGGCAGGGCACAGAGAGGAGUAAACUCAGAGCCUGAGCCCUAGGCUGUCCCAGGGCUGCCGGGUGGGGUCACGGCCAUGGGAUUCACCGUCUGGCAGAGGGCCGAAGGAGGAGCACAGAGGAACCUGUAGCCCAGGCAGAGCUUUGUGCUGCCAGCCAGCGUCAGAGCUCAUGUCUCUUGGAUGGGCAGUGUUGCAUGUGUGCCCGAUGGCACCUCUUCCUUGGGGGCAGCCUGGAGGUCCCAGGGCCAGUCUUUCCCAAGCGUGAGCCUGCUGGAGCUCAGCCUGAGCACGGAGGAGCUGGGCUGAUGGAGCAAUGGCCCUAUACAUAGUUAGAGACGGGCAACAGGGCUGAGAAGAGCUGUCACUAGGGGAGGGACCAUUCUGCCUCCAGCUGGGGCACUAGGGCCAGGACACCAUUCCCAUGCUGUCCUCAUGAGCCCCAGUGCAGUUUUCCCAGACUGCAGCCAAGGUCUGAGACACCAGAGACAACAGGGACAGGGAAUCACCUCACCUCUGCCAAGUGGAUUGGUACCUACCAUGGAGGCCACACGGGACAGGGCAGGGCACAUCACUGGCAGUAGCAUUUCUGCCCCCUCCCCGCCUCCCACUAGUCAUUGUGGCUGCAUUCAUUGCGUUGUAGCUGGCUACGCAGGUAAGAUCUGACCGGGCUUCUCUGUAACACAGGAGAUCACAGCUUGCAAGAGGCACAGCUGAGCAUUGCCCAGCUUGAGAUGCCAGACCCUACCUACAUGCUGAGCAGAUGCAAGUGGAGAUUCAGGUGCCAACAAGUUGAUGAGCUUCUGCAACAGGGAAUCCUAGCCUUGUUACCAGGAAGCAGAGCAGCCCCUUUAAAACCAGAACCUGCCAGGUGCAGCCGUCCAGUCGAGCAGGGCUUCAGGAUCGAGCCCUGCCAGCUGGUCAGGUGAUAGGAAGGGAAAGGCCAGAACCACAGCAACCUCAGGCGGAGAAGGCAUGGGGGGGCGGCAAAGAGGGGGACUCCUGAUGACUACAGAGAAGCUGCGGCAGCCUCCUCAGGGAGAACGGGCCACGCUGUGAGACAGAAGCACAAUUGCAUCUGUGGCUUCACCUGCAAAAAAAGAAAAAAGAAAGAAGGUUUGGUGGCAUACCCCUUUUCAUCACAUCACUGAAACUCCCCCCUCCACCAAAAAAAAACCUCACUGUGGCAGCCACAUGCCCAAGAGGUUGUGUCCCAGGCCAUUCAGGUACUGACACACCAGGAAGAUGAUAUCCCUAGUCAGUUCCACUUUGUGGAGAAGUUCAGUUCCUGGGAUGCAGCAUUUCUUUCCAGCUCUGGAUAUGGACUGAAACCCUGUCUCUCAAACAAGUAGCUUACUGAAGAUACUGGAGCUAAGUCUACCCAGCGGACUCAUUCCUAAAGGAGAACAGAAGGGGCCUAAGUCAGGAACGUGCAAGUUAACAAUGGAGAAGGAGCACACUUGGCAUUUGGCCCAACCAUACAAUCGCAACACCCCUCAUUAAAAAAGUUUUCUAGUUUUUUUACUUGCAAAGGACCUUGGAAAAUAUGAGCUGACCUGUUAUUCUGACAAGGACCUACAGCUGAGGUAUACAUUUGCAGCAGAAAGUUGAGGGGACAUAAAAAUCUGCAUGCAUACAUUGCAUUUAAAGCUGGCAUUGGUAUCUGAGAGGAAUGCAAGAACCCUGCCCCAAAUCUUCAGAAUCCUCAUCCCAUCCGCUAGUCCCGAGCCUGGUCAGCAGAUAUGGGGCACAGGGGUCUGUUUCUUUUUAAGGUAUAAAAAGAGCAGGAAUGAAGAGCCAUUGUUUCACUGAUCCACUCCUGCCCAUCUCCCCCAUCUCUCUUCCCAAAAAGAUGCUAACACCAACUAAGAAGAAUGGACCAAGUCAGGCAAGAGGAUGGUCCCUUUGACAAGCCUAACAUUUUAUGAUUCACACCUGAAAGAGUGGGACUAGUGCUUCAUGAAGAUUUAGAUGAGAAAGUCAGAGCAUCAGAUUCUUAGCUUCCUGAUGUCGUGGAAACACACGCAGCAUACUUUUGGGUCAGGUCAGCAGAAGCUUUUAUUCAAAAGAAACUACAGCUGUAGGGGGAGUUCCAAAGUGACAUGGAUCUCCCAAGCACUUGGAAGGGGUCCCCCCCCAAGAGCAAAAUCAGGAGGCUUAUAUACUUUUUAACAGUCGCUUAUAACUCACGUGAUCAUAUAGUGAAAUUAGCAUGAAAAGCAGCUAUAAUAUUACUUCAUUAUUUCUUUGCUGUAAUCAGGAUGGGAACUAAUGGGGGAGGCGAGGUUAGUUCACAAACCUCUUUCUUGCACCUGGAAAUCUACUUUGUACAUACUUUUUGCUACCUUCAAGGCCGCGGUGAGUGAAGCAGUUGCAGAGGAGUUAUAAAGAACAAACACUUGCCCUUAUCUGUUCUACUGUACAGAGCCAGCAAUUCUCCACAAAGCGGUUAUGUCAUCUUAUAACUAAAAUAAUCAAAGUUUAAGGCAUAUAUUUUUUCUGAUUCCACACUGAGUCCUGCAUGAACACUUCAGAAUAGCUACCCAAGCACUAAGUCUAGACCCUGCAUUAAAGUCAUACUGAACCUUCUUCCCACAACAUUUGCUCACUGCUUGACUGUUCUGCUCACUUCAAAUAGUAUCUGUGUUCUGCUUUAGUUUUUAGCCAGAACAUAUGGCAAAACCCCUGCUCUUCCAUCUCACAACGUGUACUGACCUUGAUGAAGUAGUUAGUCCCGCCAACCAACUGGGUUCUAUAUAUUAUGGCUUUAAAGACUGUAUAGGUCUUGUCUGUUUUUGCUUCCAGCUGUGACUUCACCUGCAAGAAAAGAAAAAAGAAAUAAGGUUUGGUGGCAUAACAUUUUUCAUCACAUUAACUGCCUCAGUCCCUCUUUCUGUGGUUCUUGAAAUAAGCACAUUCAAAUGUAUCAACUGUUAGAAUAUGUUUUAAAAUAUGUUAUAUCUAUGCUAUGGUUAUGUUUAUGCUAAGCUGUUUUUAAAUAUAUUUUCAUUUUAUAGCAAAAGAAGUGGUAAGGGGGGGUGUAUGUGUGCUAUGGAUAUAUGAUUGAUAGAUGGAUGAUUGCAACAGGUAUUAGACAGACUGAUACGAAGUAUUUGAAGUAAACAGAGAUAUACGUCACGAUGAAGCGCAGGUGGUGGUCCAAGAAUGUGGAGAUGUUACAAAUAAGAACUGAAAAAGAGACUGAAAUGUAAAAACAAUGUGUAAUCAGUAACAGAGUCCAAAAGAUGGGCUCAAGUGAAAAAUUAAGCAGUGAUUGGUGAAGGAGUCUCCAGGCAUUGAUUGAAGUCUGCCCCAUGAAAAUAAAAGGGCAGUGAAGGCUGAGCCCAAACAUGCCUUAACCAGCAACACCAGCCUGCCCGCACAUCAAGAGCAUUGAGGACGUGUAGAGGGUGCAUAUGCCCUUCCUGAGAUUGGCGGUGCACCCCCUGCACCACCAACGCUACCAACAGUGCCUGUGGGCAGUUGCCACUCACCACUCUCCCUCCCCCCUCCCCCACUGCUGACACUGCUGGCAGCAUCUGCAGGUGAUCACCGAUCACUGCUGGCCACCACUGAUGCUCCCAGCAGUGUCUGCGGGUGGUUGCCACCUCCCCCCCACCACCAACACUGCUGCGGACACCUGCGGGACCUCCCCACUUGCCACCACCAUGCUCCCACCGCCAUCACCUACAGGUGGCCAUCGUUCCCCGCCUCAGCCUUUGGGGGCACGUCAUUCAUGGUUGAGAGAAUUGAAGCCGGCACCCCUCUCGACUGAACAUCGCCUUGAAGAAGCCUGUGACUGGCCACUGUAGUGUGACUCCAAGUGCCGCAGAUAGGCGACUUGGUGUGAAUGGUGUGAAUGAAAUGUAUGAUGUGAAUGAAUAAAAGUGAUUCUUAUAUAA